This 255-nucleotide ribosomal RNA is filed under the name uncultured bacterium. Its description in RNAcentral is "partial 16S ribosomal RNA". It matches the Rfam family "Bacterial small subunit ribosomal RNA", at positions 524 to 776 of the family's 1533-position model. The record is from RNAcentral.
UACGGGGGGAGCAAGCGUUGUUCGGAUUUACUGGGCGUAAAGGGCGCGGUAGGCGGUCGUGACAAGUCACUUGUGAAAUCUCCGGGCUUAACUCGGAACGGUCAAGUGAUACUGUCGGACUAGAGUACAGAAGGGGCAACUGGAAUUCUCGGUGUAGCGGUGAAAUGCGUAGAUAUCGAGAGGAACACCUGCGGCGAAGGCGGGUUGCUGGGCAUUACCUGACGCUGAGGAGCGAAAGUGUGGGGAGCGAACAGG